Molecule: long non-coding RNA, 1311 nt
Filed under: Mytilus galloprovincialis (Mediterranean mussel)
Lineage: Eukaryota; Metazoa; Mollusca; Bivalvia; Mytilida; Mytilidae
Source: RNAcentral
UGUUAUUUAGUUGUAUUUGUUGUACAUGUUAUUUAGUUGUAUUUGUUGUAUGUCUUAUUUAGUUGUAUUUUGUUGUAUAUGUUAUUUAGUUGUAUUUGUUGUAUUAUUUAGUUGUAUUUUGUUGUAUAUGUUAUUUAGUUGUAUUUGUUGUACAUCUUAUUUACUGUGAAAGUACUUUAAUUCGUGGAUAUUAAUUUUCGUGGUUUAAGCAAUUUUUACAUGUUCGUGGGUUUUUAAAUUCGUGGAUUUCAGUUUUCUAAAAAAAAAUUAAUUAAAGCCUUAUGAACAAAGGUUACAAAUAGUCUGGAUUGAAGGAAAUUGCAAAGAAAACAUUGACCCAUGUAAAUCGUAGUGAAAACACUUAUUAACCCAAGAUAAAGUUAUCAACAGAUUAAGGACCAUCAAAGGUGUUAAUUAGGCCAUAAACAUGUCACCUAAAUAAAUCAGUAUCAUAAACAAAUGCUAUAAACGUAUCUUGAAUUGUCAAAUAAUUCUUAUCAAAAUCAAGCCCAGCAUUAAACUAUUAUUUCUCAUGUGUACGAGAACUAUGAGGAUAUAAAAUGAACACUUUAUCAUACUAACAUAUCAAUAUCGGAAAUCUGACUUUCAUCGGAAAAAAAUAUUUUUAUGAGAAUUAAAAGAUCAAAAGUUAUGUUCUGUGACUGCUAUUAAAGUAUUCUCUGAUUCGAGGUUAUGCAAUAUAUUCUCUAGACCAUAUCAGUAGUCAAACCUUCAUGGGGAUCUUUCCAUGUCUUCAUUUGGACAAUGGUUGUUUUAUUUCGUUGGACACUUAAAUUCGUGGAUAAAGUCAUCCACGAAAACCACGAAAAUUGGUACCACACGAAUAAAAGUACUUUCACAGUAGUUGUAUUUGUUGUAUAUGUUAUUUAGUUGUAUUUGUUGUAUAUCUUAUUAGUUGUAUUUUGUUUGUUAUAUCUUAGUUGUAUUAUUUUGUAUUUUGUUGUAUAUUUAGUUGUUUUGUAUUAUAUGUGUAAUAUGUUAUUUAUUUAGUUGUAUUUGUUGUAUAUGUUAUUUAGUUGUAUUUGUUGUAUAUGUUAUUUAGUUGUAUUUGUUGUAUAGCUUAUUUAGUUGUAUUUGUUGUAUAUGUUAUUUAGUUGUAUUUGUUGUAUAUGUUAUUUAGUUGUAUUUGUUGUAUAUCUUAUUUAGUUGUAUUUGUUGUAUAUGUUAUUUAGUUGUAUUUGUUGUAUAGCUUAUUUAGUUGUAUUUGUUGUAUAUCUUAUUUAGUUGUAUUUGUUGUAUGUUAUUUAGUUGUAUUUGUUGUUGUAUAUCUUAUUUAGUUGUAUUUGUUGU